This 253-nucleotide ribosomal RNA is filed under the name uncultured bacterium. RNAcentral describes it as "partial 16S ribosomal RNA". It matches the Rfam family "Bacterial small subunit ribosomal RNA", at positions 524 to 776 of the family's 1533-position model. The record is from RNAcentral.
UACGAAGGGGGCUAGCGUUGUUCGGAUUUACUGGGCGUAAAGCGCACGUAGGCGGAUCGUUAAGUCGGGGGUGAAAUCCUGGAGCUCAACUCCAGAACUGCCUUCGAUACUGGCGAUCUCGAGUCCGGAAGAGGUGAGUGGAACUCCUAGUGUAGAGGUGAAAUGCGCAGAUAUCAGGAGGAACACCGAUGGCGAAGGCAGGUCUCUGGGCCGAUACUGACGCUGAGGAGCGAAAGCGUGGGGAGCGAACAGG